This 269-nucleotide ribosomal RNA is filed under the name uncultured prokaryote. RNAcentral describes it as "partial 16S ribosomal RNA". It matches the Rfam family "Bacterial small subunit ribosomal RNA", at positions 524 to 792 of the family's 1533-position model. The record is from RNAcentral.
UACGGAUGGUGCAAACGUUGUUCGGAAUCACUGGGCUUAAAGCGCACGUAGGCGGCUCGGUCAGUCGGACGUGAAAUCCCUCGGCUUAACCGAGGAAUGGCGUUCGAUACUGCCGGGCUCGAGUGAAGUAGGGGGGCGUGGAACUCCGGGUGGAGCGGUGAAAUGCGUAGAUAUCCGGAGGAACGCCGGUGGUGAAAACGGCGCCCUGGGCUUCUACUGACGCUGAGGUGCGAAAGCUAGGGGAGCGAACGGGAUUAGAUACCCCCGUA